RNAcentral lists this ribosomal RNA (546 nucleotides) under uncultured Glomeromycotina. RNAcentral describes it as "SSU rRNA". It matches the Rfam family "Eukaryotic small subunit ribosomal RNA", at positions 548 to 1098 of the family's 1831-position model. Lineage: Eukaryota; Fungi; Glomeromycota. The record is from RNAcentral.
UUGGAGGGCAAGUCUGGUGCCAGCAGCCGCGGUAAUUCCAGCUCCAAUAGCGUAUAUUAAAGUUGUUGCAGUUAAAAAGCUCGUAGUUGAAUUUCGGGAUUAGUACGCUGGUCGUGCCUUCGGUACGUACUGGUGUUACUGAUUUCUACCUUCUGACGAACCAUCAUGUCAUUAAUUUGGUGUGGUGGGGAAUCAGGACUGUUACUUUGAAAAAAUUAGAGUGUUUAAAGCAGGCUCGCGCUUGAAUACAUUAGCAUGGAAUAAUGAAAUAGGACGUUGAUCCUAUUUUGUUGGUUUCUAGGAUUGACGUAAUGAUUAAUAGGGAUAGUUGGGGGCAUUAGUAUUCAAUUGUCAGAGGUGAAAUUCUUGGAUUUAUUGAAGACUAACUACUGCGAAAGCAUUAGCCAAGGAUGUUUUCAUUAAUCAAGAACGAAAGUUAGGGGAUCGAAGACGAUCAGAUACCGUCGUAGUCUUAACCAUAAACUAUGCCGACUAGGGAUCGGAUGAUGUUAUUUUUAAUGACUCAUUCGGCGCCUUACGGGAAAC